AUUCCUCUUUUAGGUUUUGUUGUUGUUGCUGUUGUUUUUUUUUUAUUUUAAAUGGAAUUAUAGUCUUGUUUCUCAUCUUGACCCACAGAAUAUCACUAAUUUCCCAAAGAUUACUUUAUAGCAAUUUAGGAACACUGGAUAUCCUGGGAAUACUGAUUAUCACAAGAAAAGCUCUGGUUUUUUUGCUACAUUUGCGAUGUAAAAGAAGUACCUGUGUUUAGCCACUUAAUUGAAUCAGGUCUCAUGGCAUCCUCUGUGUUUGAAAGGAGCCAUGCUGCCAGAUGUGAUGUUUUCAGUAGAGGAACAGACAGCGUUUGAAGAUUGUGAUAGGAUACCAAGUAAGAGCGUGAAGAAUUCACAACUGUGAGGAGAAGUAUGAAGACAAAGCUAUUAGUGGAGACUUUGGGCUUGAGCCUGCCAAGGGAUGUCACAAGGUGAGCCUUCAGCGUGGGGAAAAGGAUGCAAAAGGAAGACACGUCAAUGGGAGACAAAGAAACACCAAACAGGGGCAAAGAGCAUGCUGCAUUCUGCACUACAGGCAAUUAGUGGAAUAAUGUAAACGUAAAUUAACUCAUUAAUGAUUCCUGGAGUGCAUUAUAGAGAUCACGAAACACCACCUGACAAGUCUCUGAAAUAAAAUUCUGCUUUGUAAGUAAUACAAAAAAAAACUCAACACCAACAAGUUGGUUUCAAUAUUUAUUUGUAAUUUGGAGCACAAAUCGUAAACCAGGAAAGUUGGAAUAUUUUUAAUCAAAGCUUUGGUCGAUUACAAUAUGAGGUAUAAGAAAUUGAAUGAAUAGAUCAUUUACUAUUAUUAUGAAACUAAAGGCUUUAUGUUCUUAAGUGGAGUAAAGCUGACAGCAAUGCAUUCAUAUUAGAAAGUUCCUACUGUGAAUGAAAAAUGGGUUAAUACUGAAAUGUUGUUCAGUGAGACAGACAAAUCUGUACUUCUUUUUGGUUGUGAAAUCAUGGUAGCGAUACGCAACCACUAACUAUGAAGAAUUGGCAAUGGGGGAAAUCAUCUUGCCAGUUUGCCCUAUACACGUAUGUUUGGCAAACGUGGUUUGCUGGGUGUGUAUUCCAAUUGCACCUAAUCAGAUCUCUGACCUGUAUCAUGUACAUUCCGGAACAUUAAUUGGCACAAUUAAAAAGUUAUUUAGAGGAUGAGCUUGGAAAAAACACGUUGUCCCUUCUCCAAAUCCUAAAAUGAAACCUGGGCUUUGCAAUAAGCUGGUUUAACUGUUUGUAGAUAGAUGUUACAAGUGUUCACUGGGGGAAAAAAGUAAGGAUGACGGUACCCAGGCAACACCAAAUCUGAAUAGUUCAGCAUGUGUCAGGGUACAGCAAAUUUAUUCUUAUUAAGUGACUGGUGUGAGAAAGAAUUAGAAAGGAUUAUAAAAAUACACUACCAUAUGCUGUAGUAGUUGAAAGUGAUUAAUCCAGUUCUUAAAUCCUAUUUUAAAUUCCCUUUCAUUUCUUCCCAUAGAAAAAUGGAAGCAACAUCGCUUUGUUUGAAUGCUGUGUAGUUAAUUACAUCUUCUAAGAAACUCUUUUAAAAUGAAAUGUAAUGUUUAAUUACAAAAUGCCUCCUUGAAAACUGUUAGCUUGUACAUUGAUUUGUAGUUCAUUAAAAAUGGUUUCUUAAUUAUAUUUACAGCCAGAAAUUACACAGAGAUUAAACAGCCUACAGAGGACUUUUGAAAUUACAGCACAAAUCGCAAGGAAAAAGUUACAUUUCAGACAGUGGACAACUGACAGCUACAACCACCUAAUUGCUGCCUCUCUGUAAUUUCAGAACCUAAUUGUCAUAAAAAUAAUAACUGGAAAAAAAGACAGUUCACUGUAAUGACUCCCAGUAUUGCUUUUUUUUUU
Molecule: long non-coding RNA, 1872 nt
Organism: Tympanuchus pallidicinctus (lesser prairie-chicken)
Lineage: Eukaryota; Metazoa; Chordata; Aves; Galliformes; Phasianidae
Exons: 2
Source: RefSeq, a predicted model, not a curated record